UACGGAGGAUCCAAGCGUUAUCCGGAUUUAUUGGGUUUAAAGGGUCCGCAGGCGGAUUAUUAAGUCAGUGGUGAAAUCCUGCAGCUCAACUGUAGAACUGCCAUUGAUACUGAUAGUCUUGAGUGUGGUUGAAGUGGGCGGAAUGUGUCAUGUAGCGGUGAAAUGCAUAGAUAUGACACAGAACACCGAUUGCGAAGGCAGCUCACUAAGCCAUUACUGACGCUCAGGGACGAAAGCGUGGGGAUCAAACAGG
Molecule: ribosomal RNA, 253 nt
Filed under: uncultured bacterium
Lineage: Bacteria
Description: partial 16S ribosomal RNA
Rfam family: Bacterial small subunit ribosomal RNA
Source: RNAcentral